This 490-nucleotide ribosomal RNA is filed under the name uncultured bacterium. RNAcentral describes it as "partial 16S ribosomal RNA". It matches the Rfam family "Bacterial small subunit ribosomal RNA", at positions 29 to 507 of the family's 1533-position model. The record is from RNAcentral.
AGUGAACGCUGGCGGCAGGCCUAACACAUGCAAGUCGAACGGCAGCGCAAGAGAGCUUGCUCUCUGGGUGGCGAGUGGCGGACGGGUGAGGAAUGCAUCGGAAUCUGCCCAUUUGUGGGGGAUAACCUCGGGAAACCGGGACUAAUACCGCAUACGACCUACGGGUGAAAGCAGGGGAUCUUCGGACCUUGCGCAGAUGGAUGAGCCGAUGCCGGAUUAGCUAGUUGGAGGGGUAAAGGCCCACCAAGGCGACGAUCCGUAGCUGGUCUGAGAGGAUGAUCAGCCACACUGGGACUGAGACACGGCCCAGACUCCUACGGGAGGCAGCAGUGGGGAAUAUUGGACAAUGGGCGCAAGCCUGAUCCAGCCAUGCCGCGUGUGUGAAGAAGGCCUUCGGGUUGUAAAGCACUUUUGUUGGGAAAGAAAAGCAGCCGGUUAAUACCCGGUUGUCAUGACGGUACCCAAAGAAUAAGCACCGGCUAACUUCGUG